This 214-nucleotide ribosomal RNA is filed under the name uncultured bacterium. Its description in RNAcentral is "partial 16S ribosomal RNA". It matches the Rfam family "Bacterial small subunit ribosomal RNA", at positions 315 to 524 of the family's 1533-position model. The record is from RNAcentral.
CCGCAGCAGCCGCGGUAAUUCCUACGGGAGGCAGCAGUGGGGAAUUUUGGACAAUGGGCGAAAGCCUGAUCCAGCCAUGCCGCGUGAGUGAAGAAGGCCUUCGGGUUGUAAAGCUCUUUCAGUCGGAAAGAAACGAUUGUGAUUAAUACUCACAAUUAAUGACGGUACCGACAGAAGAAGCACCGGCUAACUACGUGCCAGCAGCCGCGGUAAU